AACACUGUUUGUGGCUAGGCUUAAUUAUGAGACAACUGAACGCAGAAUCAAAAGGGUGUUUGAGGCAAGCGGGUAGGUAUUAAAGAGCACCGAGAGUGUGCUCUGGUUAUUGGCUUUUGGUUUGGUAAGAAAUUCACCAUAAUGGUGAAUUGCAAAUCCCUCACCUCUUCGGGUCACCCAUCACCGACCCUUAGUCACUUCCCUCACUGCUCCCCAAACAAUAGGAAAAAUAAUAGGGGAACAAAAGAAAAGAAGC
RNAcentral lists this long non-coding RNA (256 nucleotides) under Coffea arabica (coffee). RNAcentral describes it as "long non-coding RNA (CARA_LNC005014)". The record is from RNAcentral. Lineage: Eukaryota; Viridiplantae; Streptophyta; Magnoliopsida; Gentianales; Rubiaceae.